GGAGAGAUGGCUCAGUGGUUAAGAGCACUUACUGCUCUUCCAGAGGACCUGGGUUCAAAUCUCAGUAUCUACA
Cricetulus griseus (Chinese hamster) is the source of this 73-nucleotide non-coding RNA. The record is from Rfam. Lineage: Eukaryota; Metazoa; Chordata; Mammalia; Rodentia; Cricetidae.